Non-coding RNA from Acanthosepion pharaonis, 113 nucleotides. NCBI's taxonomy places the organism in Eukaryota, Metazoa, Mollusca, Cephalopoda, Sepiida, Sepiidae. The record is from the annotation of a GenBank genome assembly.
UACGGCCACAUCGCGUUAAAACAUCGGUUCCUGUACGAUCACCGAAGUUAAGCAACGUCGAGUUUUGUCAGUAACUAGAUGGGUGACCGCUUGGGAAUACCAGGCGCUGUAAU